This 348-nucleotide small nuclear RNA is filed under the name Erinaceus europaeus (western European hedgehog). RNAcentral describes it as "7SK RNA". It matches the Rfam family "7SK RNA". Rfam says of the family: 7SK was discovered as an abundant small nuclear RNA in the mid-70s but a possible function has only recently been suggested. Two independent studies have found that 7SK RNA binds the CDK9/cyclin T complex (known as elongation factor P-TEFb). P-TEFb activates transcription by phosphorylating the C-terminal domain of RNA polymerase II. The record is from Rfam by way of RNAcentral. Lineage: Eukaryota; Metazoa; Chordata; Mammalia; Eulipotyphla; Erinaceidae.
GGAUGUGAGGGCGAUCUGGCUGCGACAUCUGUCACCCCAUUGAUCGCCAGGGUUGAUUCGGCUGAUCUGGCUGGCUAGGCGGGUGUCCCCUUCCUCCCUCACCACUCCAUGUGUGUCCCUCCCGCAGCUGUGCGCUAGGUCGAAGAGGACGGCCUUCCCCGAACAGAGACGGACAGGUCUUCGGUCGAGGGUGUACGAGUAGCUGCGCUCCCCUGCUAGAACCUCCAAACAAGCUCUCAAUAACAUAAAAAGAUGUCUACUUCAAUAUUAAAAUAUAAAACCUUGACAAGACCAUAGGAUAAGAGGGGUACAACUCCACACAACUCCCACCACCAGAGCUCCAUAUCU